RNAcentral lists this ribosomal RNA (411 nucleotides) under uncultured bacterium. RNAcentral's name for it is "bacterial SSU rRNA". It matches the Rfam family "Bacterial small subunit ribosomal RNA", at positions 356 to 773 of the family's 1533-position model. The record is from RNAcentral.
GGGGAAUAUUGCACAAUGGGCGAAAGCCUGAUGCAGCAACGCCGCGUGAGGGACGACGGCCUUCGGGUUGUAAACCUCUUUUAGUUGGGAAGAAGGGAGCUUGCUCUUGACGGUACCAGCAGAAAAAGCACCGGCUAACUACGUGCCAGCAGCCGCGGUAAUACGUAGGGUGCAAGCGUUGUCCGGAAUUAUUGGGCGUAAAGAGCUCGUAGGCGGUUUGUCGCGUCUGCUGUGAAAUCUGGGGGCUCAACCCCCAGCCUGCAGUGGGUACGGGCAGACUAGAGUGCGGUAGGGGAGAUUGGAAUUCCUGGUGUAGCGGUGGAAUGCGCAGAUAUCAGGAGGAACACCGAUGGCGAAGGCAGAUCUCUGGGCCGUUACUGACGCUGAGGAGCGAAAGCAUGGGGAGCGAAC